This 731-nucleotide long non-coding RNA is filed under the name Oryctolagus cuniculus (rabbit). RNAcentral's name for it is "lncRNA (ENSOCUG00000032561.1)". Lineage: Eukaryota; Metazoa; Chordata; Mammalia; Lagomorpha; Leporidae. The record is from RNAcentral.
AUGGCAACUAUUAUGAUGGCCUCGGCUAUGGCUGUGGCUAUGGUGGCCUGGGCUUUAAUCUUGACUGAGAUUGUGGCUGAUAUGACUGCUGCCACCCAUCUUACUUAUGCAGAUUCUAGACUUAUGGAUUCUACUGAGAAAUUUCUGAAGUCAGUUGUGAAAACUCUGGAUGAUGAACAAGCAGACAAGAAGGAAAUUUUAGCAGCUUAUUGGAAAAAGUGGACAGACUCUUACACCUGAUAGACCAGACAGGCAUCUGAAGCAUCUCAGAAAAGGGCUGAAAGCCCACUCUGCGUUCUGCCUGCGGUUUUCACGGGUGUGAAUACGGGUCUCCCAUUUCUUCUGCCCUUCCUCUGCUUCUGGGAAAGUCCGGAUGGGGGGUUGGGGACGUGGAAUUCCCCUAAGCAAUCAAUCCCCUCCAGACAAUAGUCGCCUUAUGGAUUCUUCUUCAGUACUGUAGGGCCAGCUGUAACCCUUCCUCGGUUCAGCGAGUUCCUUUUGAUAAAAGACAGGAAAGACUAUCUUGGGCUAGGGAAGAAGAAAAGAGGCUGUGUCCUGCAUUCAGGUCUUGUUUGCUCAUCCCAUAGCACAUAAAUUUAUUUAUUUAUUUAUUUGAAAGGCAAUGUUACAGAGAGGAAGAGAGAGGUCUUCCAUCCGCUGAUUCACUCCCCAAAUGAGGAUGCAACAGCUGGAGUCGCGCCAAUCCAAAGCCAGGAGCCAGGAGCCUCUUC